Lemur catta (Ring-tailed lemur) is the source of this 1771-nucleotide long non-coding RNA. RefSeq lists it as uncharacterized. The transcript is spliced from 2 exons. Lineage: Eukaryota; Metazoa; Chordata; Mammalia; Primates; Lemuridae. The record is from RefSeq and is a predicted model, not a curated record.
UUGACUUCCUUAAGGUCACAGAGCCUGAGUGAUUGGGUCUCUUGACUCUUCAUUUUGUCUCUGGCGAAAUGUUGGUCUCCGCUUCUCCACAUUCACCCCAAACUCAUUUGUUCCAGAAAAGCACCUGUCAUCUAACCUGAGGUUCCUCCUUUUUGGGAUUCCUCACACUAAGGAAGUGAUCUGAACUUGCUUUGAGCUUACUGCCCCUGAGGCCAUUUUGGCCUGUGCCUUGUGGCCGCCAGGCCGCUCACCCUUACACAGAAAGGAUGCCUGGGGCAGUGGACCCAGCCACACAGGGCCAGUUUGCCCGGCCUCGCCCUAUCAGAAGGUUGGCUUGGGUCAUUACCAGGAUGCACAAUCCUGCCUCCUAGAAGUCUGGUCAACGUGGGAAUCUGUGCAGUCUCGAACAACAGAGGCUUCAGGCCUUGCCCAGUGAUCCAGGGACUAGGACGUGAACACACGUUUUACUCCUCCAUGUCAACGUGGGUGUCCCGAGCAGGACCCUCUCUCCCAAGGCCCAGGCAAGGAUUUUCUAACCAAGUAUGUAGUUAGAGGAAAAUUCAAUCCACAUGUGUCUGACUCACUGAUCUCCAAAUCAUCCUCAAGUUUGAUUCUGGGCAUGGUUUGAUAUACACUCUGCUUUUUUUCCAACUUUUGGAUUGGUAAGUUGGCCAAGGCAUAAUAAAUAAACAGCAACCCUGAGAGACAGAAGGAAGCUCCAAGUAGAGGCCUGACCCGCAGGCUCCUCUUCUGCCCGUGCUGCGGGGUGCGGAGCCCUCCUGAAGACCACUGGGCUCAGAAGAUGGUGACACCACAGGCUGGCGGCUGCUGAUCUUCACUGCACCCUCGAGGGCACACAGUGAGUCCCCUGGCAUCCAAGGCCAUCCCAGACCUCCACCAUUCCUUUCUUCUCGAGAUCCACGUGAAGAGAAAAAGGAGUCCAUCAGGGAAGAAUCUCCUUGGGUGCCGUCUCUCCCGACACAGCCGUCUGUCUCAGCAGCCCUCCUCCUCAGUGCCCCGUCUGGGAAGGGCCAGCCCGGCCGCAGAACCCCGCCGUGCGUCCCCUGCCGUCCGGCACCGUCUUCGGCCUUCUGUGUGCUCUCGCUGGUUGGGUCCCCAGUCGUCCUCCUGUGUUGAAAUCUCAGUCUGUUUCCUGGGGAACCUGACCUGGGAUAAGAAAGUGCUUCGGGCAGAGGGACAGUCACCAGGAUGCCAUUUCUUCCCGGUCCCACAGUUGCUGCCUAGACCUGAUGCCCGUGAGUUCUGCAUCCUGCCCAUCUGACCAUGCAGACCUGUAACCAGCUGCGCUCCGCAGCGCUCGCCUUCUCAGAUGUGUCCGCCCGUCGCCGGUCUGGGGCCGACAGCCCUGGGGGGCAGGCCUGGUCCGUGCCUGCAGCUCUGAGCCCACCGCUUCGCCUCGCGUAGACUCAGCACUCUCAGCACAGCGGCCCCGCCCCAGCCCUUCCUGGCUGUGCAGAGUCUGCCUCCUGGGUUCAGACCCUGCUGUCUGCUCCUGCCACAGCAGCUCAGGGACCAGGCAGCCGGCGAGGACAGGGAACACGCGGAAAAGGGUCUAUCUGGGAGGAGGGGCCGCAGCUGAGCAUCCGGCUGGGCUCCCUCCUCAUGUCCUCACUCCCCACACCUGCAUUUGCAAGCACCCACCCUAGUCCCUGGAGUCCCAGGCCUGCUUUGCCUGCUUUCUUCUUGGUCAUUGUGAGUUUCUCACUGUGGCAAAGUCAUAAUGCAAGUAAAAGAAUAUGUUUCUGACUGA